Long non-coding RNA from Dioscorea cayenensis subsp. rotundata (Guinea yam), 213 nucleotides. RefSeq lists it as uncharacterized. NCBI's taxonomy places the organism in Eukaryota, Viridiplantae, Streptophyta, Magnoliopsida, Dioscoreales, Dioscoreaceae. The transcript is spliced from 3 exons. The record is from RefSeq and is a predicted model, not a curated record.
UUUAGCAUGAAGAUUUUUGGUGGCUUGAAACUGUUACUCUAUAUAGAAGAAACUGUGGACAACAUAUCAGGGUACUUGAGGAGCUUUUCAGAGGGUGAUUCAAGUGAGUUUGGCAUGAAUUUAAUUACCUUGGAGAAGGUGCUCAUGGGAUUUAUUUCAAACACUAGCCAAGAGAGUCUGGCUUUAUAUCUACGUCUCUAAUGAAGUUUCUGG